AUCCUUCCACGAUGUGCUGUCGGCCUCAUCUCCCAAGUCCAAGCCAUUCUUGUUCCUUCUCUGCUCGUUCUCAUGGCCGAGCUCCCCACGUCCGCCGCUCCUCCCUGGCGCCCUCACCUCCAUUGGAGCUCGCCCCUGUUGAGCUCACCUGUGCUCGUCGGCUGCCCUGCAGUUCCCCCAUGGACGCCUCCUUUCUAAUCUGUGUGCAGGGGUUUCCUUCCCAUGGUCGCCCUCAACCCCAUGGUCGACCUCGCCUAGCCCUUCCCCCAUCUCUUCCCCAAGCUCGGUUCGGCAUGGAGGCUGGCCACAGGACGCAGCACACCAACCUCACCGGCCAUACCCUCUGCUUUUCCCCACUGUCCGCAGCCCCGAUGUCGUCGUCGUGAUUAGACAUGUGUGGCGAAAAGAAAGAUUCUAGAGUUUGGUGGGAAAGGAAAGCUCUAUCACGACGACCACCAGGUACGUUCAUUGAUCACGUAUUGUGGAGGACAACAACAACUGGAAUAAUCUCAAAGUGGGAUUGAUGAAUGAACCCAAAGCUGAAUGAUCUGAUCGUACUGGAAUGGGAGGUGCUCGCCAAGCGAGUAUCAUCUAACAACACUGACUUAGUGUUUAUCCCAGGUUAUAAUUUUGUUCUGUUGUGGAUGCUGCUAAGUGCCGGUGGGCUCGGCCUUCUUAUAUAAGUAUAUCCCAUCUUUAGCUUCUUUAUUGAGGAUUGUCACUUAAGCUAGCAUGUAUUUUAAAACUUAUAAAUGUUUUAUACAUUCAAAUUGUAAUCUUUUGAAUCAAUUUCUUUUGUAACCAACUCCGAUGAUAUAUAUUGUAAUCUUGCUAUAACUUGUAAAUGUUGUAACUUGUAACCAUUUUGUAAUAAAUAAUUUAUUUCCGCUGCA
This is a long non-coding RNA of Zea mays, 893 nucleotides long. RefSeq lists it as uncharacterized. The transcript is spliced from 4 exons. Lineage: Eukaryota; Viridiplantae; Streptophyta; Magnoliopsida; Poales; Poaceae. The record is from RefSeq and is marked validated.